CCUACGGGGGGCAGCAGUGGGGGAUAUUGCACAAUGGGGGAAACCCUGAUGCAGCGAUGCCGCGUGAAUGAAGACGGCCUUCGGGUUGUAAAGUUCUGUCGCAGGGGACGAAAAUGACGGUACCCUGCAAGAAAGCUCCGGCUAACUACGUGCCAGCAGCCGCGGUAAUACGUAGGGAGCAAGCGUUGUCCGGAAUUACUGGGUGUAAAGGGAGCGUAGGCGGGAGGAUAAGUUGAAUGUGAAAUCUAUGGGCUCAACCCAUAGCUGCGUUCAAAACUGUUCUUCUUGAGUGAAGUAGAGGCAGGCGGAAUUCCUAGUGUAGCGGUGAAAUGCGUAGAUAUUAGGAGGAACACCAGUGGCGAAGGCGGCUUACCAAACUACGACUGACGUUGAGGCACGAAAGCGUGGGGAGCAAACAGGAUUAGAUACCCUGGUAGUC
RNAcentral lists this ribosomal RNA (439 nucleotides) under uncultured bacterium. RNAcentral's name for it is "partial 16S ribosomal RNA". It matches the Rfam family "Bacterial small subunit ribosomal RNA", at positions 338 to 795 of the family's 1533-position model. The record is from RNAcentral.